UAUUUUGAAUUCACCAUAGGGCUCAGCCAUUCCUAGAGGAAUUCUAGGCACCUUGGAAAAAAGCGAAAUCGCGCUAGGGAUUUCAGCCGAUCUGGCAGCUCUUCCGAUGCCACUGGCGCGCCUUUUAAUCCAAAGCGCCUUUUUCGUGUCUCAUGUUUGCUCGUUUAUUGCGGAGGCCUAUAUAUGCUUCAAGAUGCUGGAAAAGGAUCACUUCCAAGUAAUCUGGAAGGCUGAUGCCAAGUACAUCUUGUGCGAGAAGCUUGAUAUGAUUCCUGACCUGGAACCGGAGUUGAUGGAGGGCACCACUGUGGCCUACCGAUGUCCGUCCGGCGUCAAAGGAAUCGGCCCUGCAGUGGAUUCAGCUGUACCAAGAGGCCGCCAACAUCACCCUGACGACGUACGACUCCAUGUCGAAUGGCCAAAGGGUGGUGUACUGGGCCAGGCUUCGUUGUCACCACGACGUCCCAGAAAAGCCGAGUCGUCCGAG
This 487-nucleotide long non-coding RNA is filed under the name Amphibalanus amphitrite. Its description in RNAcentral is "uncharacterized LOC122373340". Lineage: Eukaryota; Metazoa; Arthropoda; Thecostraca; Balanomorpha; Balanidae. The record is from RNAcentral.